CAACCCUCAGGCCCCCCUUAGGGGCGCCUGGUGUUGGGGACCGGCCCGCCCACCGCGGCGGCGCCGCCCCCGAAAUGCAGUGGCGACCUCGCCGCAGCCUCCCCUGCGUAGUAGCACAGCCUCGCACCGGAGCGCGGAGACGGUCACGCCGUGAAACGCCCAACUCUCAAG
RNAcentral lists this unclassified non-coding RNA (171 nucleotides) under uncultured fungus. Its description in RNAcentral is "sequence contains ITS2". Lineage: Eukaryota; Fungi. The record is from RNAcentral.